AAAUAGAAUGUGUUUUAUUAUAAACUAUUUUUUAACAUACAUUAAUUUACUUGACUACUUUCAUGUACUGGUUAUGAGCCUGAUGAAGACUCAAUAAAGAGUCGAAACGUCGCAAUAAUAACAAUAACAUGACUGUUUAAUUUGUCAUUCAUUUUUUCCAACUACCUGCGAUUUUUUCAUAUUAUUUUAUGUAUUUGGAUGCGAUA
Molecule: long non-coding RNA, 206 nt
Organism: Cotesia glomerata
Lineage: Eukaryota; Metazoa; Arthropoda; Insecta; Hymenoptera; Braconidae
Exons: 2
Source: RefSeq, a predicted model, not a curated record